UACGGAGGGGGCAAGCGUUGUCCGGAUUUAUUGGGCUUAAAGGGUGCGUAGGCGGUCUUUUAAGUCAGUGGUGAAACCCUCCAGCUCAACUGGAGAACUGCCAUUGAUACUGGAAGACUUGAGUAUAGUUGAGGUAGGCGGAAUUGACAGUGUAGCGGUGAAAUGCAUAGAUAUUGUCAAGAACCCCGAUUGCGAAGGCAGCUUACUAACCUAUAACUGACGCUGAGGCACGAAAGUGUGGGGAUCAAACAGG
RNAcentral lists this ribosomal RNA (253 nucleotides) under uncultured bacterium. Its description in RNAcentral is "partial 16S ribosomal RNA". It matches the Rfam family "Bacterial small subunit ribosomal RNA", at positions 524 to 776 of the family's 1533-position model. The record is from RNAcentral.